GUCACAGACUCAGGUCUUCAUAUUCCUAUUGCUCUGGUUGUCUGGUGCUGAUGGAGACAUUGUGAUGACCCAGUCUCCCAAAUCGAUGUCUACGUCAAUAGGAGACAGAAUCUCCAUGACCUGCAAGGCCAGUCAGAAUGCAGUGGAUCUGGGACAGAUUUCACUCUCACUAUCAGCAGUGUGCAGGCUGAAGACCUAUCCAUUUAUUUCUGUAAGCAGUAUAGCAGCUAUCCUCC
Long non-coding RNA from Grammomys surdaster, 236 nucleotides. RefSeq lists it as uncharacterized. Lineage: Eukaryota; Metazoa; Chordata; Mammalia; Rodentia; Muridae. The record is from RefSeq and is a predicted model, not a curated record. The transcript has 3 exons.